This 460-nucleotide ribosomal RNA is filed under the name uncultured bacterium. RNAcentral's name for it is "partial 16S ribosomal RNA". It matches the Rfam family "Bacterial small subunit ribosomal RNA", at positions 338 to 795 of the family's 1533-position model. The record is from RNAcentral.
CCUACGGGAGGCUGCAGUGAGGAAUAUUGGUCAAUGGGCGCGAGCCUGAACCAGCCAAGUAGCGUGAAGGAUGACUGCCCUACGGGUUGUAAACUUCUUUUAUAAAGGAAUAAAGUGAGGCACGUGUGCCUUUUUGUAUGUACUUUAUGAAUAAGGAUCGGCUAACUCCGUGCCAGCAGCCGCGGUAAUAAGGAGGAUCCGAGCGUUAUCCGGAUUUAUUGGGUUUAAGGGGAGCGUAGAUGGGUUGUUAAGUCAGUUGUGAAAGUUUGCGGCACAACCGUAAAAUUGCAAUUGAUACUGGCAGCCUUGAGUACAGGUGAGGUAGGGGGAAUUCGUGGGGGAGCGGUGAAAUGCUUAGAUAGCACGAAGAACCCCGAUUGCGAAGGCAGCUUACGAAACUGCCACUGACAUUGAUGCUCGAAAGUGUGGGUAUCAAACAGGAUUAGAUACCCCUGUAGUC